CGGAAGUUCUUUGAAAACCUCUCCACACUUGUCAAUGGCCUGAGCAGAGACACAUGAACCAAGACCAGCGACCUUGGGAUGCCCUGUGUCCAGCCAGGCGCAGUGGCUCACGCCUGUAAUCCCAGCACUUCCCGAGGCCGAGGCAGAAGGAUCGCUUGAGAACAGGAGUUCGAGAUCAUCCUGGGUGAUACAGCAAGACCCCGUUUCUUGCUGAAAAUCGAAUUUCAAUUUUUCUUUACCUGGAAUAGCAUCAAAUAGCAAAUAAAACACACCAGAACAAACUGAAAGACCAUGGAAGAAAGGAAAGAGCUUUAUAUUUUAGUUCCUUAAAAGUACUUUUGUCCUGCUUUUUGAACAAGGGGCUCUGCCUUUCAUUUUGCAUUGGAUGUAACAAAUUAUGUAGUUGGUUCUUCUCUCAUCUUGGCUUCUUUCACAAUACCUUCAUUUUUGUCUUCUGGGACCAUGUUUUGCUCCUUCUCAAGUCCACUAGGCAGGCUGAGGCCCCUCACACUCGCCACAUGUAUCAGGCAGAGAUUAACUUUCUCAAGCCUUUUUCCAGAUUCCCAGAAGAAAGCAUUGGAUUGGCCCAGUUGCACCAUGUGACCUGGCCAGGGGAGAAGUCAUGUGAUACAAACAUGGCUUGAGCCAAGCCCUGUGGAUAGAAAGGUGGGUGGGUAUCAGAGAAAGGGAGCUGUGCAAGUACCCCAGACUUGUCUGGGUUGGCCCUUUCAAGUAGUCCAAAAUUGGAGGUGGGGGUGUCUAGUCCUUUAUACACUGAGUGGUUCAAUGCCCCAGAGUGGUGGAAAGAAAAUGUGGCCUUUGGGGUUGGGCUUUCUAGGGCUCUCACUCUCUCAGGUGGAAAUUGUCAGUACCAGCAUUCCCAGCAGCUGUGGAAUGAGUCCCUUAGUCCUGAAAUGAUGCUAGGGACCUAGGCAGGGCACUACAGCUCACAUUACACUUCCUACUUGGAAAUGAUGAUUGUUUUUGCUUGUUUGUUUGGUUAAAGACACGCCUCCCUAUGUCUCCCAACCUGGAGUCCAGUGGCAUGAUCAUAGCACAGGACAGUCUAGAACUCCUGGCCUCAAGCAAUCCUCCUGCCUCAGCCUCUCUAGUAGCUCAGACUACAGGUGCACACUACUGCGCCUGCCUUUCAGUGAUUUUUUUUGAAUGGAAUCCUAUUUAUAGGGACUGAGUGGUCCUAGUAAUAAGGUAAAGGAAACAUUUUUCUAAUAAUUAUCUGGAAGUGCUCUGGGAACUUGAUGUAUUGUUUUUAUGCAUGAAAUUUUGGCCUGUGACUCCAUGAAGUUGGCGUCAGUUGUUAAUUUUAAAUUUCUGUUGCUCUAGAAGGUGUUAGUGGAUUGUCUGGGGUAAGGAGGAAUAGGUGGAAAGAGAAGGAAGAAUCUCCCUAAUUAUUUACAUCUUCUUUCAGGAAACAUUCCUUAACUCCACACAGAAACAAGGUGAGGGGCCAGGGCUGACACUAGCAAGACCCCUAAGGACCUGGGGCCCAGGGGGGAGCGGGGGGUUUGGGCAGGGGUGGGGAAGGGGUCUGACUUUCUGGCAAUGCUUUUAGCAGGUUGCUGUUCUCGUAGAAAUACGGCUCAAACUUUUCCGAAACAGUUUAGUAGCUACGAUUAAGUAAAAAAUAACUUAAAAAAAAAAAAAAGCAUGGAUAGGUCUGUCACAGUGGCUCAUGCCUAUUAUCCCAGCACUUUAGGAGGCCGAGGUGGGAGGAUUGACUGAGCUCAGGAGUUUGAGACCGGUCUGGGCAACUUAGGAAGACCCUAUCUGUACAGAAAAUAAAGAAGUAAAAAUCAGCCAGGCGUGGUGGUGCUUGCCUGUAAGUCUUAGCUACUCAGGAGGCUGAGAUUGGAGGAUCACUUGAGUCCAGGAGGAAGAGGCUGCCAUGAGCCCUGAUUGUGCCACUGCACUCCAGCCUGCACAAUAGAGCGAGACCCUGUCUCAAAAAAAAAUGAGUAAAAAAUAUUUCUUCCAAAGGUCUCUCGGCUCACUUGGAUUACGGGUUCAGUCAUUUCUAAGCAUUUCCUGCAGCCUCAGAAACUCAAUAGUCAAUUAUUUCCACGAGUACAAAGCUUAAAGAUGAAGAGAACAAGAGAGGGAAGGGUAAAAGGACACCAAAGGGCCAUUUUCACUUGCUCCUAAAUAAUGUGAAUGAUAUUAAAUCUGCUCUAAAUGGUACCAGAAUGCAUUUAUCUUACCCCAUCUUUGUGUCAAUUGCCCAGUCAAUGUAUUUUGCCUGAAAUGUAAUCAUUCUUGACUCCUUCAUAUCUUUCAACCCCCAAUCAAUUAAUCCAAUAAACAUUUAUUGAGGCAUUUGUAUGUACAGGUGCUCUUCCACUUAUGAUGUGGUUACCUUCUGAUAAACCCAUCAUACAUUGAAAAUGCCGUAAGUUGAAAAUGCAUUUAAUACACCUAACCUACCAAACAUCAUAGCUUAGCCUAGCCUACCCUAAACAUGUGCAGAACAUUUAUAUUAGCCUAUGGUUGGAAAAAUCAUCUAACACAAAACCUAUUUUGUGAUAAAGUAUUGAAUAUCUCAUGUAAUUUUUUGAAUACUAUACUGAAAAUGAAAAACUGAAUGGUUGUAUGGGUCCCUGAAGUACAGUUUCUACUUACAUGUAUUGCUUUCACAGCACUGUAAAGCUGAAAAAUUUAAAUCGAACCAUGAUAAGUCAACGACUGUCUGUACAAGGUAACAUACAAAAGCCUCUGAUAAAGAAAAUACUGGUAGAACAUCGUCCCUGAUUUUGUAUGAUCCUGAGGGGGAGGUUGACACAUAUACAACUUUGAAUAAAACCCACACAAUACCUAAUAACAGAGGGCAAAGAACCAUGAAAGUAGAGUCAAGGGGAGUGAAAAUUCCACUCACUUUGUUUACUGUGAUUAAUUCUCAAGUUGUUCGUAAUCCACUAAAGUCAACUGACCCAUGGGGUGAAGUGGUAUUCAGUUAAUGAGUCAAUUCCCUGCAACCUUUCAACAAUAUGGGGCACCAAAGCCCUGAAUGUAUAAGAGUGGGCCUUUCUGAAUACAUUCUGUGAAAAUUUUAUACCCCAAUCUGAUUUAUAUCAUAUCAUGUUAUGUAACAAAUAAUUAGCUACAAAUAUAUCCAUGGCACAAGGCUUGUUGCUUUUGCCCCUGAAAAGAAACCGUAUCAUAAUUGCUAGGUAUCCUUGGUGAUUAUUCAGAAAAUCUUUGAACUUGCCUUUCACAAAAUAGAGAGGGGCAUUCUCUUGACAUUGUGUGAUGUUUUGCCUCUUAUUGCAAGAAUGCAUUGCAUGCUCCCUGAAAUAUUUUAGCAGUCCCAACUCUUCCAAAUUGUUCAAUCCCUAUAUGACAAAGCAAAAUAAUUUAAAUAUUGUUUCAAUAAUAAAAGUUUACCAAAAUAUCUUGCAUUAUUUGUAUUAAAAGAAAAAAUCCAUAAAACAUGUAUUGAACCUUAUUUGAAAUAACAUGCCACAAACAAUUUCUCUGACAACUCAAGCCUGUUCUAUUCAAGCAGGCUCUCAAGACCCAACAAGUCAUCUGGUGACUCAGGUGGCUCCUGAGAAGAAAUAAAAUGCUCUGUGCAACUUGUGUUUCUGAAGCAUUUACUGGGUGUGUAGCAUUUUGUAAUUUAGCUGGAUUCCUUUUGCAAAACAUGCAACAAAGAAUUUAAUCAGCAAAGCAAAACAGGUUUGUGGCAUUCCAGAGCGAUUCUCUAAUCCAAAUAUAAAUUAUUCAAGUUCCAACCAAUCUAGCAAAUCACAAAUGAACAUGGUAAGGAUUGUGAUUGACCAAUUACAAGUCACAAGUCUAAUGGUAGGUUAGGCACAAUGAUUCACAUCUGUAAUCCCAGCACUUUGUGAGCCAAGGUGGGUGGAUUGCUUGAGCUCAGGAGUUCAAGACCAGCCUGGGCAACGUGGUGAAACCCCGUCUCUAUUAGUCAAUUUGGAUUGAUUCAGUGGGCAGUUCGUUUAGAUGAACUUUAUGCAGUAUUCAAGUUAUUAAGAAAAUUACAGGCUGGGCAUGGUGGCCUAACAAAGAAGAGAUGGGUUCUUACUAUAUUGUUCAGGCUGAAGUGUAGUGACCAUUCACGUGUGCAAUUAGGAUGCACUACACCCUUGAACUCCUGGGCUCAAGUGAUCCUUCUGCCCCAGCCUCCCAAGCAGCCGAGAUUACAGGCAGGCACCACCGCACCCAGCCUCAGCUGGCUAUUUAUACACAUGCACACAUAUGGAGAGGAAGAGAGGGAGAGAGAUUGUCUAAGAAUAAGGAUAUAUUUUAUAUAACCAAUCAUAAUAUCAAACAAGAAAAUUAGCAUUAGUUGUAUAUUAUCUAAUAUACAGUCUAUGUUUGAAUUUCUCCAGUUAUUUAAAAAAUGUCUUAGAGCUGGGUUUUAUUUUUCUGAAUCUGGGUUCCAAGCAAGAUUUGUACAUUGCAUUUGAUUAUUUCUCUUUAAUUCUUAAUCUACAACAAUUUUUCUGUCUAAAAAUAUUUCUAUGAUAAUGACAUUUUUCCCAAUAGUCUUAAACAAUGUCCCACAUUCUUGAUUUUUCUACUUUUUUCAUUAUUAGGUUUAGGUUAAUAAAGUUUGGCAAAAUACUUAUAUUACUGUCAAAGUAAUGUUUAAAGUGAAAUUUUGAAUUUUCUUUGUUUGAUAUUAUGUCUUCCCCCAAAUUCUAGUGUAUAGAAACUUUGGUUUAAAAAAGUAUUUAUAUAAUAAACAGUAUGGUCGUACUAG
This 4741-nucleotide long non-coding RNA is filed under the name Homo sapiens (human). RNAcentral describes it as "HSALNT0159988". The record is from RNAcentral. Lineage: Eukaryota; Metazoa; Chordata; Mammalia; Primates; Hominidae.